RNAcentral lists this ribosomal RNA (396 nucleotides) under uncultured bacterium. Its description in RNAcentral is "bacterial SSU rRNA". It matches the Rfam family "Bacterial small subunit ribosomal RNA", at positions 362 to 776 of the family's 1533-position model. The record is from RNAcentral.
UAUUGCGCAAUGGAGGAAACUCUGACGCAGUGACGCCGCGUGCGGGACGAAGGCCCUCGGGUCGUAAACCGCUUUCAGCAGGGAAGACCACGCCGGUACCUGCAGAAGAAGCUCCGGCUAACUACGUGCCAGCAGCCGCGGUAAUACGUAGGGGGCGAGCGUUAUCCGGAUUCAUUGGGCGUAAAGCGCGCGUAGGCGGCCGCCUAAGCGGAACCUCUAACCCCGGGGCUCAACCUCGGGCCGGGUUCCGGACUGGGCGGCUCGAGUGCGGUAGAGGAGAGCGGAAUUCCCGGUGUAGCGGUGGAAUGCGCAGAUAUCGGGAAGAACACCGAUGGCGAAGGCAGCUCUCUGGGCCGUCACUGACGCUGAGGCGCGAAAGCUGGGGGAGCGAACAGG